Molecule: non-coding RNA, 359 nt
Organism: Aegilops tauschii subsp. strangulata
Lineage: Eukaryota; Viridiplantae; Streptophyta; Magnoliopsida; Poales; Poaceae
Source: RefSeq, a predicted model, not a curated record
CUGAAAUUGUUGAUAACGUCUACUCGACGGAAUCAGUCCUUACGGGCGGGAUAAAUGUUGGAGACUACAAUGCAAACUUCAUACCCUUACAUGCAGGAACCUUCAAACGACGGGAUUCCGUCGUAUUCUGAGAAUAAUAAGGAUGGUACGACUAAGCUACGAGAUGAUACUCAAGGUAUUCACAGGCAUGCUUAUACAGCUUCCAAAUCGACAUCUCCCAGAUGAGCUUAAUGGGCUUUGUGGUUUUUACGCUUAACGUAAUGCAGAUGACAAAACUUCCGAGCAGCAUGCAACAGUAGCUGUAUUUAAUGAAGAAAAAAAUGUUGGCGAAACAAGGGAGCAGUUCAACGCACAGAGGC